AUUGAACGCUGGCGGCAGGCCUAACACAUGCAAGUCGAGCGGAGCGGCGGACGGGUGAGUAAUGCCUAGGAAUCUGCCUGGUAGUGGGGGAUAACGUCCGGAAACGGGCGCUAAUACCGCAUCCUAUCCGAUGAGCCUAGGUCGGAUUAGCUAGCUGGUGGGGUAAAGGCCUACUAAGGCGACGAUCCGUAACUGGUCUGAGGGGAUGAUAAGUAACACGGGAACUGUGACACGGUCCAGACUCCUACGGGAGUCAGCAGUGGGGAAUAUUGCACAAUGGGCGCAGGCCUGAUGCAGCCAUGCCGCGUGUGUGAAGAAGGCCUUCGGGUUGUAAAGCACUUUCAGCGGGGAGGCGUUACCCGCAGAAGAAGCACCGGCUAACUCCGUGCCAGCAGCCGCGGUAAUUC
This 407-nucleotide ribosomal RNA is filed under the name uncultured bacterium. Its description in RNAcentral is "partial 16S ribosomal RNA". It matches the Rfam family "Bacterial small subunit ribosomal RNA", at positions 30 to 526 of the family's 1533-position model. The record is from RNAcentral.